Molecule: ribosomal RNA, 219 nt
Filed under: Clostridiales bacterium
Lineage: Bacteria; Bacillati; Bacillota; Clostridia; Eubacteriales
Description: partial 23S ribosomal RNA
Rfam family: Bacterial large subunit ribosomal RNA
Source: RNAcentral
GGACUAACCUCUGGUGUACCAGUUGUACUGCCAAGUACACAUCGGGGUAGCUAUGUUGGGAUUGGAUAAACGCUGAAAGCAUCUAAGUGUGAAGCCAGCUCCGAGAUGAGAUUUCCCUCUUUUGAUAAGGGCACUGGAAGACUACCAGUUGAUAGGCCGGGCGUGUAAGUGGUGAGAGCCAUUCAGCUUACCGGUACUAAUGCCCGAAGACUUGACCAC